AACCUUCUGAAUCCACGCCGAGAUUUCGUCAGACACCGAUCCAUUAGAACUGAUCAAACUUCCAAGAUGAGUGAAGUU
Molecule: non-coding RNA, 78 nt
Organism: Schistosoma margrebowiei
Lineage: Eukaryota; Metazoa; Platyhelminthes; Trematoda; Strigeidida; Schistosomatidae
Source: Rfam